Molecule: ribosomal RNA, 409 nt
Filed under: uncultured bacterium
Lineage: Bacteria
Description: bacterial SSU rRNA
Rfam family: Bacterial small subunit ribosomal RNA
Source: RNAcentral
UGCAAUGGGCGAAAGCCUGAUGCAGCAACGCCGCGUGAGUGAUGAAGGCCUUCGGGUCGUAAAGCUCUGUCCUCAAGGAAGAUAAUGACGGUACUUGAGGAGGAAGCCCCGGCUAACUACGUGCCAGCAGCCGCGGUAAUACGUAGGGGGCUAGCGUUAUCCGGAAUUACUGGGCGUAAAGGGUGCGUAGGUGGUUUCUUAAGUCAGAGGUGAAAGGCUACGGCUCAACCGUAGUAAGCCUUUGAAACUGGGAAACUUGAGUGCAGGAGAGGAGAGUGGAAUUCCUAGUGUAGCGGUGAAAUGCGUAGAUAUUAGGAGGAACACCAGUUGCGAAGGCGGCUCUCUGGACUGUAACUGACACUGAGGCACGAAAGCGUGGGGAGCAAACAGGAUUAGAUACCCUGGUAGU